ACGGGCUUCGGUCUGGUGGCGAGUGGCGAACGGGUGAGUAAAGUAUCGGAACGUACCUUUCAGUGGGGGAUAACGUAGCGAAAGUUACGCUAAUACCGCAUAUUCUGUGAGCAGGAAAGCAGGGGAUCGCAAGACCUUGCGCUGAUUGAGCGGCCGAUAUCAGAUUAGCUAGUUGGUGGGGUAAAGGCCUACCAAGGCGACGAUCUGUAGCGGGUCUGAGAGGAUGAUCCGCCACACUGGAACUGAGACACGGUCCAGACUCCUACGGGAGGCAGCAGUGGGGAAUUUUGGACAAUGGGGGCAACCCUGAUCCAGCCACGCCGCGUGAGUGAAGAAGGCCUUCGGGUUGUAAAGCUCUUUCGGCCGGGAAGAAAUCGCAUGGGCUAAUACCCUGUGUGGAUGACGGUACCGGAAUAAGAAGCACCGGCUAACUACGUGCCAGCAGCCGCGGUAAUACGUAGGGUGCGAGCGUUAAUCGGAAUUACUGGGCGUAAAGCGUGCGCAGCGGUUUAGUAAGACAGGCGUGAAAUCCCCGGGCUCAACCUGGGAACUGCGCUUGUGACUGCUAAGCUAGAGUAC
This 579-nucleotide ribosomal RNA is filed under the name uncultured Dechloromonas sp. Its description in RNAcentral is "bacterial SSU rRNA". It matches the Rfam family "Bacterial small subunit ribosomal RNA", at positions 73 to 649 of the family's 1533-position model. The record is from RNAcentral. Lineage: Bacteria; Pseudomonadati; Pseudomonadota; Betaproteobacteria; Rhodocyclales; Azonexaceae.